UACGGGGGGGGCAAGCGUUGUUCGGAAUUACUGGGCGUAAAGGGUUCGUAGGUGGCCAACUAAGUCAGACGUGAAAUCCCUCAGCUUAACUGGGGAACUGCGUCUGAUACUGGUUGGCUUGAGUGCAGGAGAGGAACGCGGAAUUCCUGGUGUAGCGGUGAAAUGCGCAGAUAUCAGGAGGAACACCGAUGGCGAAGGCAGGUCUCUGGGCAUUAACUGACGCUGAGGAGCGAAAGCAUGGGGAGCGAACAGG
This 253-nucleotide ribosomal RNA is filed under the name uncultured bacterium. Its description in RNAcentral is "partial 16S ribosomal RNA". It matches the Rfam family "Bacterial small subunit ribosomal RNA", at positions 524 to 776 of the family's 1533-position model. The record is from RNAcentral.